RNAcentral lists this long non-coding RNA (205 nucleotides) under Lathyrus oleraceus (garden pea). RNAcentral's name for it is "Pisum sativum (pea) long non-coding RNA (PSAT_LNC012796)". Lineage: Eukaryota; Viridiplantae; Streptophyta; Magnoliopsida; Fabales; Fabaceae. The record is from RNAcentral.
UUAGCCAGUUAGCCAAAAAUCCAACCCUUAAAUAAUAUCAUCCCUUUUUUGAAACCCUCUUGAGCCUAUAAUCAUUUUUUUUGUUUAAAACUCAUUACAAACCGAGAAGUGAAAAACAAUGUUAUCACCCUAUUCAAAGGGUUGAAAGAGUCUUGUUUGGAGUUGUGUGAGGUUGAAUAAUUAUGUUUGUAAUAUUUCAGAAGUU